UACGAAGGGGGCUAGCGUUGCUCGGAAUCACUGGGCGUAAAGCGCACGUAGGCGGACUCUUAAGUCGGUGGUGAAAUCCUGGAGCUCAACUCCAGAACUGCCUCCGAUACUGAGAGUCUUCGAGUUCGGGAGAGGUGAGUGGAACUGCGAGUGUAGAGGUGAAAUUCGUAGAUAUUCGCAAGAACACCAGUGGCGAAGGCGGCUCACUGGCCCGAUACUGACGCUGAGGUGCGAAAGCGUGGGGAGCAAACAGG
Molecule: ribosomal RNA, 254 nt
Filed under: uncultured bacterium
Lineage: Bacteria
Description: partial 16S ribosomal RNA
Rfam family: Bacterial small subunit ribosomal RNA
Source: RNAcentral